Molecule: ribosomal RNA, 294 nt
Filed under: Triticum aestivum (bread wheat)
Lineage: Eukaryota; Viridiplantae; Streptophyta; Magnoliopsida; Poales; Poaceae
Description: partial small subunit ribosomal RNA
Source: RNAcentral
AUGCAGGAUGGAUCCGGCAUGGCGGCCGGGCCGACAAGGAAGAGGACCAGUGAAGGGGUGCUCGACAAGGCGGCGCUGGCACCAAUGCCGGUGCUCAUAUUCAAGGCAGGGGCAAGGCGGAGGCCCGCGAUGGUGCAAAGGUUGGUAGCUGCUACAUACAUGUUGCUUUAUGAUCUUGCCUUCUUGGAAGUGGGCACUUACCCAGCUAGCACCGCCGAGCUACCGCUCAGGCGGCGCGCCACGGGCGCGCCCCAGCUGCUAGUCCUCAUGCACUGGAGCAUGCAUGCUGCCUAA